This 582-nucleotide long non-coding RNA is filed under the name Felis catus (domestic cat). RNAcentral's name for it is "lncRNA (ENSFCAG00000045386.2)". Lineage: Eukaryota; Metazoa; Chordata; Mammalia; Carnivora; Felidae. The record is from RNAcentral.
CAGUAAGGUAUUGGUGAAAGGAAAUAUAUCUCUAAGGCCAGCAGAAUUGAGACUUUCUAUUUGAUAAAAACGAAACAAAACAAAACAACAACAACAACAGAACGUUUGUUGAAAAAAUCUAGCCUGGUUUCUCUGAGAUCCAGAUCCCAUGCUAAUUUGCAUCUUGUCUCAAUCCUAUUCUUGAACAUUUUUUCCUGAUGAGUAGAUUCUUCAAACUUGCCUAGACUUUCCUUCAAGUUUCUCACAAGAAAUGCCAGGUAACCAGCUAAAUUACAAAAUGAGAACCUGAAGGAAACAGACACUCCUACAGGUCAUUUAAAGAAAAGAACAGUGACGUCAGCAGAAACUGAGGAUGGAUGGUAGAGACUGCUACUCCCCUUUGUUUUCUUCCCAUUUUCCUGCAGACCUGAGCCUGUUCUUCCUCCAUGAAGCUAUGGAAGGAAGAGAUCUUUUUCAAUGAAUCCUUAACGCUGAGGACCACCAUCACCAAAUUGACAGGCUGUCUGAUGAUUGUCCCAACUGCCAUGAUCUGUGAAAACUAAGAGUCUCUGAUGUUGGCUGUCCAUCCAGAGACCCAGCCUU